CCCGCCCCAGCCCCUCCCAUGGAAGCAUCCGGCCAGGGGAGGAGAUCGGACGGAAUCAGUGCAGGGGGGGAGAUCGGACGGACUCAACCCUUUGACGGAGGCGGUGACACAGAGAGCAGGUGCUCCCCAGAUCCUGGCUACUGAGACCCUGAGAUUCCCCCCGCGAUGCCAUUUCUCCGCAUUCUCAGCACCGUCCUGGUUCUGCUCAGCUGCUGCUGAUCGCCCUGGGCUCUGACUACUGGGUGGCGGACAACAGCGGCGUCAAUAUGGGGCUGUGGAAGACCUGCGUCCAUUCACUGUGUGCACAAUAUUCUUCAGUACCAGAUUACUUUGACACCACCAGGGCUUUCCUGUUCCUGGCCAUGAUCGCCGGGUUUCUCUCCUUCUUCACUCUCAUCGCUUCGUUCUUCCGCUCCCACCUCGGCCCCGUGUCUCUGACCCUGGUCUCUGCCGUGGGCAGCUUCAGCGCAGGGCUUUGUGCCAUGAUCGCGCUGGCCGUGUUCACAGGGGAAGUAGCUAAGGCCAUGAAUGUCCCGUCGGGCCAAGUCUCCUUCGGCUGGUCCUUCGGCCUCGGCUGGGCCUCCUUCCCCCUCUUCCUCAUCACUGGUGAGUGCAACAUCGGGGAGGAAGUACCCAGGGAUCCCUUGC
This 648-nucleotide long non-coding RNA is filed under the name Chrysemys picta bellii (western painted turtle). RNAcentral's name for it is "lncRNA (ENSCPBG00000003763.1)". Lineage: Eukaryota; Metazoa; Chordata; Testudines; Emydidae. The record is from RNAcentral.